Molecule: ribosomal RNA, 253 nt
Filed under: uncultured bacterium
Lineage: Bacteria
Description: partial 16S ribosomal RNA
Rfam family: Bacterial small subunit ribosomal RNA
Source: RNAcentral
UACAGGGGGUGCAAGCGUUGCUCGGAAUCACUGGGCGUAAAGCGAACGCAGGCGGACCUGCAAGUCAGGGGUGAAAGCCCGAGGCUCAACCUCGGAACUGCCUUUGAAACUGCAGGUCUUGAGUACGGGAGAGGUGAGUGGAAUUCCUGGUGUAGAGGUGAAAUUCGUAGAUAUCAGGAGGAACACCGGUGGCGAAAGCGGCUCACUGGCCCGAUACUGACGCUCAUGUUCGAAAGCGUGGGGAGCAAACAGG